AGAUAGUGCCGCGUGAACUGUCCUUCCGAAGACCUUGAUACUGGCCAUGAGGAAGGAACUGCCAUGAUUCAGAAUUUAAAUUCUAAAAUGGUGGAAGAGAGGAAUGCUGCAGUGUCUUCACAAAUGGUUAUGCAGGGAACUGACAAUUCCCUUUGGAUGCUAAAUAGCAACACUGAAUGUGAGCAGCUCAUCCCUCUGGAACUUUCCAUUGUCAAGACUUUCUGAAGCUAAAUGUGUCACAUGGACCCCUUAGAAGCAUGGAGAAAAUAUUGUCAUCUGCACUUCAACUACUGGAUUAGAAUAUAUAUCAGGAGUUGUAUACAAAUGUUACAUAUGGAUCAUCUCAACCAGUAUGUACUGACAUUUGAGAGCUCUUCCUAAUGAAGCUUAUAGAUUGUUAUUCUGAUAUUCCUAGCUGUAAUUUAGCUCAUUGCAUAUCAAUAAAUAUUUAUUAAGUGAAUAAUGACUUCAAUAUAGAACUAAGGAAGAUCAUUUUAAAAAAUAAAAAUGCCCAA
This is a long non-coding RNA of Mastomys coucha (southern multimammate mouse), 515 nucleotides long. RefSeq lists it as uncharacterized. Lineage: Eukaryota; Metazoa; Chordata; Mammalia; Rodentia; Muridae. The transcript has 3 exons. The record is from RefSeq and is a predicted model, not a curated record.